Molecule: ribosomal RNA, 868 nt
Filed under: uncultured archaeon
Lineage: Archaea
Description: bacterial SSU rRNA
Rfam family: Archaeal small subunit ribosomal RNA
Source: RNAcentral
UUCCGGUUGAUCCUGCCGGACCUGACUGCUAUCGGAUUGGUACUAAGCCAUGCGAGUCAUUGUAGCAAUACAAGGCGGACGGCUCAGUAACACGUAGUCAACCUAACUCGUGGACGUGGAUAACCUCGGGAAACUGAGAAUAAACCACGAUAGAUCAUAGUGCCUGGAAUGGCUUAUGGUCCAAACAGUUUACUGCCAUGGGAUGGGACUGCGGCCUAUCAGCUUGUUGGUGAGGUAAUGGCCCACCAAGGCGAUUACAGGUACGGGCUCUGAGAGGAGAAGCCCGGAGAUGGGUACUGAGACACGGACCCAGGCCCUAUGGGGCGCAGCAGGCGAGAAACCUUAGCAAUGUGCGAAAGCACGACUGGGUCAGUCCGAGUGAUUCCUGAUAAAGGAGUCUUUUGCUUGUCCUAAAAGCACAGGUGAAUAAGGGGUGGGCAAGUCUGGUGUCAGCCGCCGCGGUAAUACCAGCACCUCGAGUGGUCAGGACGUUUAUUGGGCCUAAAGCAUCCGUAGCCGGCUUUGCAAGUCUUCGGUUAAAUCCACCUGCUCAACAGAUGGGCCGCUGGAGAUACUACAGAGCUAGGGAGUGGGAGAGGCAGACGGUAUUCAGUGGGUAGGGGUAAAAUCCUCUGAUCCAUUGAGGACCACCAGUGGCGAAGGCGGUCUGCCAGAACACGUUCGACGGUGAGGGAUGAAAGCUGGGGGAGCAAACCGGAUUAGAUACCCGGGUAGUCCCAGCUGUAAACGAUGCAAACUCGGUGAUGCAUUGGCUUAUGGCCAAUGCAGUGCCGCAGGGAAGCCGUUAAGUUUGCCGCCUGGGAAGUACGGACGCAAGUCUGAAACUUAAAGAAUUGGCGGGGGAGCA